Molecule: ribosomal RNA, 1434 nt
Filed under: Tomato big bud phytoplasma
Lineage: Bacteria; Bacillati; Mycoplasmatota; Mollicutes; Acholeplasmatales; Acholeplasmataceae
Description: bacterial SSU rRNA
Rfam family: Bacterial small subunit ribosomal RNA
Source: RNAcentral
CAUGCAAGUCGAACGGAAACCCCUUAAAAGGUUUUAGUGGCGAACGGGUGAGUAACACGUAAGUAACCUGCCUUUAAGACGAGGAUAACAAUUGGAAACGGUUGCUAAGACUGGAUAGGAAACAAAAAGGCAUCUUUUUGUUUUUAAAAGACCUUCUUAUGAAGGUAUGCUUAAAGAGGGGCUUGCGCCACAUUAGUUAGUUGGUAGGGUAAAAGCCUACCAAGACGAUGAUGUGUAGCUGGACUGAGAGGUUGAACAGCCACAUUGGGACUGAGACACGGCCCAAACUCCUACGGGAGGCAGCAGUAGGGAAUUUUCGGCAAUGGAGGAAACUCUGACCGAGCAACGCCGCGUGAACGAUGAAGUAUUUCGGUAUGUAAAGUUCUUUUAUUGAAGAAGAAAAAGUAGUGGAAAAACUAUAUUGACGUUAUUCAAUGAAUAAGCCCCGGCUAACUAUGUGCCAGCAGCCGCGGUAAGACAUAGGGGGCGAGCGUUAUCCGGAAUUAUUGGGCGUAAAGGGUGCGUAGGCUGUUAGAUAAGUCUAUAAUUUAAUUUCAGUGCUUAACGCUGUCUUGUUAUAGAAACUGUCUUGACUAGAGUGAGAUAGAGGCAAGCGGAAUUCCAUGUGUAGCGGUAAAAUGUGUAAAUAUAUGGAGGAACACCAGAAGCGUAGGCGGCUUGCUGGGUCUUUACUGACGCUGAGGCACGAAAGCGUGGGUAGCAAACAGGAUUAGAUACCCUGGUAGUCCACGCCGUAAACGAUGAGUACUAAGUGUCGGGGUAAAACUCGGUACUGAAGUUAACACAUUAAGUACUCCGCCUGAGUAGUACGUACGCAAGUAUGAAACUUAAAGGAAUUGACGGGACUCCGCACAAGCGGUGGAUCAUGUUGUUUAAUUCGAAGAUACACGAAAAAUCUUACCAGGUCUUGACAUACUCUGCAAAGCUAUAGAGAUAUAGUGGAGGUUAUCAGGGAUACAGGUGGUGCAUGGUUGUCGUCAGUUCGUGUCGUGAGAUGUUAGGUUAAGUCCUAAAACGAGCGCAACCCUUGUCGUUAAUUGCCAGCACGUAAUGGUGGGGACUUUAGCGAGACUGCCAAUUAAACAUUGGAGGAAGGUGAGGAUUACGUCAAAUCAUCAUGCCCCUUAUGAUCUGGGCUACAAACGUGAUACAAUGGCUGUGACAAAGAGUAGCUGAAACGCGAGUUUUUAGCCAAUCUCAAAAAAGCAGUCUCAGUUCGGAUUGAAGUCUGUAACUCGACUUCAUGAAGUUGGAAUCGCUAGUAAUCGCGAAUCAGCAUGUCGCGGUGAAUACGUUCUCGGGGUUUGUACACACCGCCCGUCAAACCACGAAAGUUAGCAAUACCCGAAAACAGUAGCUUAACUUCGUAAGAAGAGGGAACUGUCUAAGGUAGGGUCGAUGAUUGGGGUUAAG